This is a non-coding RNA of Podospora fimiseda, 115 nucleotides long. The record is from the annotation of a GenBank genome assembly. Lineage: Eukaryota; Fungi; Ascomycota; Sordariomycetes; Sordariales; Podosporaceae.
AUCCCCGUAGCUUAGUGGUCAGCGUUUGUGUGUGCCUUUCUUUCCAGCGUUUGAUUUUCCUCAGCGAAUACAGUUAAGGCAGCGAAAAACGUCGGUUCAAACCCGACCGGGGACA